RNAcentral lists this ribosomal RNA (495 nucleotides) under uncultured bacterium. RNAcentral describes it as "partial 16S ribosomal RNA". It matches the Rfam family "Bacterial small subunit ribosomal RNA", at positions 28 to 507 of the family's 1533-position model. The record is from RNAcentral.
GACGAACGCUGGCGGCGUGCCUAAUACAUGCAAGUAGAACGCUGAAGGAGGAGCUUGCUUCUCUGGAUGAGUUGCGAACGGGUGAGUAACGCGUAGGUAACCUGCCUGGUAGCGGGGGAUAACUAUUGGAAACGAUAGCUAAUACCGCAUAAGAGUAGAUGUCGCAUGACAUUUGCUUAAAAGGUGCAAUUGCAUCACUACCAGAUGGACCUGCGUUGUAUUAGCUAGUUGGUGAGGUAACGGCUCACCAAGGCAACGAUACAUAGCCGACCUGAGAGGGUGAUCGGCCACACUGGGACUGAGACACGGCCCAGACUCCUACGGGAGGCAGCAGUAGGGAAUCUUCGGCAAUGGACGGAAGUCUGAACGAGCAACGCCGCGUGAGUGAAGAAGGUUUUCGGAUCGUAAAGCUCUGUUGUAAGAGAAGAACGAGUGUGAGAGUGGAAAGUUCACACUGUGACGGUAUCUUACCAGAAAGGGACGGCUAACUACGUG